This 408-nucleotide ribosomal RNA is filed under the name uncultured bacterium. RNAcentral describes it as "bacterial SSU rRNA". It matches the Rfam family "Bacterial small subunit ribosomal RNA", at positions 355 to 779 of the family's 1533-position model. The record is from RNAcentral.
UCGGGAAUUUUGGGCAAUGGGCGAAAGCCUGACCCAGCAACGCCGCGUGAAGGAUGAAGUAUUUCGGUAUGUAAACUUCGAAAGAAUGGGAAGAAUCAAUGACGGUACCAUUUAUAAGGUCCGGCUAACUACGUGCCAGCAGCCGCGGUAAUACGUAGGGACCAAGCGUUGUUCGGAUUUACUGGGCGUAAAGGGCGCGUAGGCGGCUUUGUAAGUCACUUGUGAAAUCUCCGGGCUUAACUCGGAACGGUCAGAUGAUACUGCUUUGCUAGAGUGCAGAAGGGGCAAUCGGAAUUCUUGGUGUAGCGGUGAAAUGCGUAGAUAUCAAGAGGAACACCUGAGGUGAAGACGGGUUGCUGGGCUGACACUGACGCUGAGGCGCGAAAGCCAGGGGAGCAAACGGGGAUU